This 253-nucleotide ribosomal RNA is filed under the name uncultured bacterium. Its description in RNAcentral is "partial 16S ribosomal RNA". It matches the Rfam family "Bacterial small subunit ribosomal RNA", at positions 524 to 776 of the family's 1533-position model. The record is from RNAcentral.
GACGUAGGGUGCGAGCGUUGUCCGGAUUUAUUGGGCGUAAAGAGCUCGUAGGCGGCUCGUCGCGUCGACCGUGAAAACCCGCGGCUUAACUGCGGGCUUGCGGUUGAUACGGGCGGGCUAGAGUUCGGUAGGGGAGACUGGAAUUCCUGGUGUAGCGGUGAAAUGCGCAGAUAUCAGGAGGAACACCGGUGGCGAAGGCGGGUCUCUGGGCAGUAACUGACGCUGAGGAGCGAAAGCGUGGGGAGCGAACAGG